Molecule: ribosomal RNA, 430 nt
Filed under: Ligilactobacillus salivarius
Lineage: Bacteria; Bacillati; Bacillota; Bacilli; Lactobacillales; Lactobacillaceae
Description: Lactobacillus salivarius partial 16S ribosomal RNA
Rfam family: Bacterial small subunit ribosomal RNA
Source: RNAcentral
ACAGGUGCUAAUACCGUAUAUCUCUAAGGAUCGCAUGAUCCUUAGAUGAAAGAUGGUUCUGCUAUCGCUUUUAGAUGGACCCGCGGCGUAUUAACUAGUUGGUGGGGUAACGGCCUACCAAGGUGAUGAUACGUAGCCGAACUGAGAGGUUGAUCGGCCACAUUGGGACUGAGACACGGCCCAAACUCCUACGGGAGGCAGCAGUAGGGAAUCUUCCACAAUGGACGCAAGUCUGAUGGAGCAACGCCGCGUGAGUGAARAAGGUCUUCSGAUCGUAAAACUCUGUUGUUAGARAAGAACACGAGUGARAGUAACUGUUCWUUYRAUGACGGUAUCUAACCAGMAAGYCACGGCUAACUACGUGCCAGCAGCCGCGGUAAUACGUAGGUGGCAAGCGUUGUCCGGAUUUAUUGGGCGUAAAGGGAACGCA